UACUCCUACGGGAGGCAGCAGUGAGGAAUAUUGGUCAAUGGGCGAGAGCCUGAACCAGCCAAGUAGCGUGCAGGAAGACGGCCCUAUGGGUUGUAAACUGCUUUUGUAUGGGGAUAAAGUCAAUCACGUGUGAUUGUUUGCAGGUACCAUACGAAUAAGGACCGGCUAAUUCCGUGCCAGCAGCCGCGGUAAUACGGAAGGUCCGGGCGUUAUCCGGAUUUAUUGGGUUUAAAGGGAGCGUAGGCUGGAGAUUAAGUGUGUUGUGAAAUGUAGACGCUCAACGUCUGACUUGCAGCGCAUACUGGUUUCCUUGAGUACGCACAACGUUGGCGGAAUUCGUCGUGUAGCGGUGAAAUGCUUAGAUAUGACGAAGAACUCCGAUUGCGAAGGCAGCUGACGGGAGCGCAACUGACGCUGAAGCUCGAAGGUGCGGGUAUCGAACAGGAUUAGAUACCCUGGUAGUCCGCACAGUAAACGAUGGAUGCCCGCUGUUGGUACCUGGUAUCAGCGGCUAAGCGAAAGCAUUAAGCAUCCCACCUGGGGAGUACGCCGGCAACGGUUAAACUCAAAGGAAUUGACGGA
This 582-nucleotide ribosomal RNA is filed under the name uncultured bacterium. RNAcentral's name for it is "bacterial SSU rRNA". It matches the Rfam family "Bacterial small subunit ribosomal RNA", at positions 334 to 917 of the family's 1533-position model. The record is from RNAcentral.